GACGAACGCUGGCGGCGUGCUUAACACAUGCAAGUCGAGCGGUAAGGCCCUUCGGGUACGACGAGCGGCGAACGGGUGAGUAACACGUGGGUGACCUGCCUCUAGCUCUGGGAUAAGCCUGGGAAACUGGGUCUAAUACCGGAUAUGACUCCACGGCGCAUGUUGUGGGGUGGAAANCCUUGUGUGGCUAGAGAUGGGCCCGCGGCCUAUCAGCUUGUUGGUGGGGUGAUGGCCACCAAGGCGACGACGGUAGCCGGCCUGAGAGGGCGACCGGCCACACUGGGACUGAGACACGGCCCAGACUCCUACGGGAGGCAGCAGUGGGGAAUCUUGCGCAAUGGGCGAAAGCCUGACGCAGCGACGCCGCGUGA
Molecule: ribosomal RNA, 371 nt
Filed under: uncultured bacterium
Lineage: Bacteria
Description: bacterial SSU rRNA
Rfam family: Bacterial small subunit ribosomal RNA
Source: RNAcentral